UACGGAGGGAGCUAGCGUUGUUCGGAAUUACUGGGCGUAAAGCGCGUGUAGGCGGCCCGGUAAGUCCGCUGUGAAAGUCGGGGGCUCAACCCUCGAAUGCCGGUGGAUACUGUCGGGCUAGAGUGCGGAAGAGGCGAGUGGAAUUCCUGGUGUAGCGGUGAAAUGCGCAGAUAUCAGGAGGAACACCAAUUGCGAAGGCAGCUCGCUGGGACGUUACUGACGCUGAGACGCGAAAGCGUGGGGAGCAAACAGG
This 253-nucleotide ribosomal RNA is filed under the name uncultured bacterium. RNAcentral describes it as "partial 16S ribosomal RNA". It matches the Rfam family "Bacterial small subunit ribosomal RNA", at positions 524 to 776 of the family's 1533-position model. The record is from RNAcentral.